Molecule: signal recognition particle RNA, 255 nt
Filed under: bovine gut metagenome
Description: Bacterial large signal recognition particle RNA
Rfam family: Bacterial large signal recognition particle RNA
About the family: The signal recognition particle (SRP) is a universally conserved ribonucleoprotein involved in the co-translational targeting of proteins to membranes. Archaeal SRP consists of a 7S RNA and homologues of the eukaryotic SRP19 and SRP54 proteins.
Source: RNAcentral
AGCCGGGGAGAUAGCGGUGCCCUGUACCUGCAAUCCGCUACAGCAGGGGUGAUAUCCUGUCGAGGAUGCUUUUUUGUCGGGCCGCCCCGGAAAAGUGGCGUUGAAGCUCUGGUCUUACGCAACGGGAAUUCGUGAACCGUGUCAGGUCGGGAACGAAGCAGCACUAAGCGAAAGCUCCUGUGUGCCGUAAGGGCGCCGGAGCAGAGCAGGCUAUCCGGGUACCGCCGGUGAAGGGCAUUCGACACAGGAUGCGCG